GACGAACGCUGGCGGCGUGCUUAACACAUGCAAGUCGAACGGAAAGGCCCUGCUUUUGUGGGGUGCUCGAGUGGCGAACGGGUGAGUAACACGUGAGUAACCUGCCCUUGACUUUGGGAUAACUUCUGGAAACUGGGGCUAAUACCGGAUAGGAGCUCCUGCUGCAUGGUGGGGGUUGGAAAGUUUCGGCGGUUGGGGAUGGACUCGCGGCUUAUCAGCUUGUUGGUGGGGUAGUGGCUUACCAAGGCUUUGACAGGUAGCCGGCCUGAGAGGGUGACCGGCCACAUUGGGACUGAGAUACGGCCCAGACUCCUACGGGAGGCAGCAGUGGGGAAUAUUGCACAAUGGGCGGAAGCCUGAUGCAGCAACGCCGCGUGCGGGAUGACGGCCUUCGGGUUGUAAACCGCUUUCGCCUGUGACGAAGCGUGAGUGACGGUAAUGGGUAAAGAAGCACCGGCUAACUACGUG
Molecule: ribosomal RNA, 468 nt
Filed under: uncultured bacterium
Lineage: Bacteria
Description: partial 16S ribosomal RNA
Rfam family: Bacterial small subunit ribosomal RNA
Source: RNAcentral